This 29098-nucleotide long non-coding RNA is filed under the name Marmota monax (woodchuck). Lineage: Eukaryota; Metazoa; Chordata; Mammalia; Rodentia; Sciuridae. The record is from RNAcentral.
GAUGAAGAAGGGACAGCAUUUGAAGGACUGAGUCUUCCAGGCCACUCACUUGUGGACGGUGGGAGAGGGUCGCCUUGACCCAGGGCUUCCUGGACUGUCUGCUCCUCUGAACCUGGACACCCACUGUGAGUCUCAGGAUCCCCCAGUGAGGACCAGACAGAACUGAGAAGAGAGAAGGCAGGGCGGGCGGAGGCUAGAGGCCCAGAGGAGGGAGGGGAAGGAGGACUCCAUGGGAGGUCUCCUCCGAGGGCUCCAUCCCCGGCAGGAAAGAGGCAGGAGGCGCACACCGUCACUCCUCCACGCACGCAGAGGCUCUCACCAACUCUGCAAACCUGCUCUAGGAAUUGAGGAAGCAAAGACCAGUGAGACUUGGUCCCCUCUGUAAGAGCAGCAUGAGGUGUCGGGGAAGCCACGACACAGGGGCACACACACACACACACACACACACUCAACCCCAUUUUUAUACAAAGGGGUGCCUGUGGCAGGUGCUAAAUGUGAGAUGUGAAUCGUGUCUAAAUGGAUCCCAGGGAUGGACGCCCAGCAGGGGGUGGGGCUGCCAGGCAAGGUGUGCCAAGGAAAGUCGUGUUUUGACCUGAAAGAGGGAGCAAGCUUUUGCCUAAGGUCAAGCUGAGGUGAGAACACGGGGAGGGAGAGUACCCCGAGCGGAAGUCCACACGGUAACAAGGCCGCCGAACCCCGAAAGACUGACGGUCGAGGGGGAUGUGAGAGGGGCUGCUGGGAGAGGGUGGCAGCAGGCAUGGCCUCCCGGGGUCUGGAGUUUAGGAGUUUCUGAUCUCAGGACAUGAGCCCGUGGAUGCCCAGGCGGGGAGGGGCGCCGACAACCACAUCUCAGUCAAGUGGCACUCGUCCUCCGCCACAGUCAAAGGGAAUGCCGGGCCUUUGUUCUUUUAGUCAAUUUUGGUCCUAAAUUUCACUGUGUGGAGCGAACACCAUGCCCUCUGACUUUCUAAAAUGGCAAGAUAAAUGCUUAAGAAAGGCAGGAGAAAACCAGGCCUUCUGUUUUUUCACCGACCUUGACCUUAAGACUGAAAAGGAAGUCUCCCUUCGCAUCUCUGCGCCACGCAGGUGCCGGUCCCUCGUGUUACCAGGUCCCCUGUGCUGCUGGGUUGCCUUAGGGCGGGAGGCAGCACUGCACACCACCUCUGAGACAUUCGACUGGCCCCUAGGGAUCCGGGAUCAAAGGACUCCGAGUCCCAAGCAGAGUCUCCAGUUCCUGGGAGUGAACAGCUCUGGCUGGGAAAGAGGAAGGCAGCAUGGGGGCUCAGCCUGCAGAUAGCUCUAGGGUCAGUAGACGCCAGGAACCCUGGAAACCACUACUGCAUUAUAAAGCCUCCUGCAGGAUGUGCCCAUGAGAUGUCCUGUGUAGGGAAAGUGGACAAACCUCACCAGGCUUCUCAAGUGCAGAUUACUCCAGUGGAUAAAUGUGGAUUACCGUGUCUCCAAGAGUUCUUAGUAAAGCCUGCCCUGAGCAUGUAACGUGUUCAAGUCAGUGUGAGCGCGAGGAUCAACGUCCACAUGUGUGGCUUGGUUACUGUUCCUAGUCUCCAGUGCUCCAGCCCCAAACACCUGAACAGCUGGACCUUUAUCCACUUUAACCUUGAACAGCAGGACCAGCUUCCAGCCCCGACUAUUCCCAAACCACCUUGCACAAGCACCCUGCCCAGCUGACGUGCUGCCUGGGGGUCCUGACACCAGCUAUUCCUCCAUCCCCAUUCUUUUCUACAAAGAGGAUGAGCAUCAGCUGCAGGGUAAUGUCCAUGAGGGUGGGUGAGACUCGAGAGGGAAGAGGCUAAAGCAAAUGCCCCAGAUUCUAUUCUAUAGCACUGUUCUGAGUCCUCAGGGUGUCACAUCGCCCAGCAGAGCUGGGCAUGCAAAAACAAACCGGCCUCCAGGGACUUUUCCGUUUACAGGACUGAACUAAAGUUGCCAGGGAAACAAAGCCCAGGUUCCCCAUUAAGUUAACUUUCAGCUCCUUGUCACACCUCUCGCAGCCCGGACAAACAUGAUAAAGGAAGAGAACUGCCAUUCUGUGUUAAAAUCUCUUGGAGCACAUACUUCCCAGGUAAAAAUCAUCCACAGGAGAGAGCUGGGCAAAUCUCAAUGGGAAAGUGACGCAGCGCCACCCAGAUUCGAGUGUGCAGUGGGGGGGACGCACAGAAGGAGCACAAUGUGUGUUUCUCACUGGAACUGCACGGCCCACACUCAGGACCUGCUCCCGUCUCUUUUCCAGCUGUCACCGCUGCAAGCUGCAAGUGUAGACCUUGUGUGUAGUUCUCGGUAGGAGCCAACAACAGGAGAAGGAGGCUUGGAGUCAGGAUGGUGCGUGGAGCAAGAAAACACGGCAGCCCCGGCCUGUCAGGGAGGGAGCCAAGACUUGAAUGAAACAGAUAAAGAAAUAGGUUAGGUUACUGGCAGAGUCAAACCAGUGUCCAGGAUGAUAUGGAGAAAGGGUCCGGAUCCCACGCGGCCAAGGCUGCCUCUGGGCAAGCUAGGGCUUCUCCUCCCUUUACAGAGUGUGUGCAAGCCAAGCAGAGCCUGGUGAGGAGCUGGAUCCCAGGGAGCUCUCUGACUGCUCAGCUGGACCACGGGUUAGUAUGGGACACUGCACCAGCUGCCACCCUCAUCCUAACUCAUCCUCUAUCCCAAAGGCCCACAAAGUGGUCCAUGUUUUCCAAAGCUCAGCAGAAGAUCUCCAGAUCCGCAGAGAGAUUUGAGCCAUUUUGUACAUUCUCAAAGCCUGGUUACCAUUCUCUUCAGAUCUCUUACCACUGAAAGCUGCGUCUUUCUGUAUGUCCUCUAUUGACAGCAAGAUCCCCCGGGUAGAGGUGCCUUGGUUUCUGCUCAGCAUCGUGCUCAGUUCCCACAGAGCCCAGUGCAGAGCAGGUGCUCAGCCCCCAUUUGUCAACAAGUAAAUGAAUGCGUCCUGAACAUGCAUGACCAGAAGGCAAUGGGUCACGUCCUGCAGGGCCACGGGAGCCCACAGAACCAAGCCUGUUUGGCUCUUCCUAGGCAGGUUCCCGUUUCCGUACAGUGUAGCUCAGGGCGGGUGGACAUUCGGAUCACAGUAAGUCCACACUGAGCCUCCUCUUCACAUCCAAUGGUGGGGUCUGGCUUUCCUCCCACAACCACGGGAGGUUUCAGAAUGAUUGUCAGAAUGACUUCAUAGGGUUUCUGGUCAGCCAAGAAUCACUUGUGUUUCCCAAGACUGGAAGGACUUGAACCUCUUGGGUAAACAGCCCCUUGGCUGAGACAUGGAAACCUUGAGGCUCUUGGCCAUUUCCUAGCAGUUUACAGCUGCUGACCUGCCAACCCGGUGCAGUUUGGGUGCAGCCUUCUCUUCCCCUCGAGGUUUCUAUAAAUGCCCCAGGGCUGAAGGCAAGUAGCCAGAGACACAGAGAAGAAAGGUAUCCUGAGCUCCCUUCUGCAGCCGCAGAGGGAUCAGGAAUUCAGCUGAGUGAGGAGGCCCCAGAUCAUGUGCCCAGGAAUCCCUACAUAAGCAGCUUGAGUCACGUUGUUGGUCAGGAUGCCCCAUCCAUCCAGUUCCAUUUGUGACAUGAUAAUCAGGCUGUGCCCAGAGGAGGGUCUCUGGAGGGCACUCAGGAUGUCCAUGAGCAGAAUCCCCACGUCUGUGCUGACGACUCCGUCCUCCAGCAGUGCUAGAAAGGAGCACUGGAAAGAACUCGGAGGGACCCAGAAGUCACUGGCUCUUUCCAAAGUGAAGCAUUUCCUCCAAGGGAUAGGGCAGCAUGGUGGCUUGGAGGACCCUGCUUUGAAUACUGGUUUGGCCACUGAGCUCUGGACUUUGGGCACACUAGUUCACCUUUCUAAGACCUGUCUCCUUAUUCUAGAAGUGGAGGUGACACUACCUGCCCUCAGCACCAUCUCUAGGUCAGAACUACACAGACUCCAGACUGGUGACCAGCCCUGGUAAGUUCACUCAUUCUCGGGACGUCUCUGCCUUUCCCUCCUUUCUUCAUCUCUAUUGCCAUCCUGGGCCAUGUCAUGUACCCCUUAUUUGUGCUGCUGUUUUUCAUGUGCAUUGAUGAGCCUGGCAGUGCCACUCUCUGGGCUUUAAACGAUGUAUACAUGUGAGUAUGGAAUCCCACAUAGUGACCUCAGCCACAGCAGCUGUUGAGAGAGAACCAAAGGCAAAGAGAGUCGGGGGACAGCCGACGUUCAGAGAUGACCAGAGGCCAAACUUUCUCCCUGCGUUUGCCAGAGCUCCUGCCUCAACAGGCAGACAAGGCAGCAAUGGUGCACCUGUGUGGCGCCAGACACCUGCUGUCCUGAGCGUCCCCUUCUUGUCCACGUCCACCCCAGCCCUGACCACCAAGGCCUGACCACACGUAAAUCCUGAAGUAGAGACCCCACAAGUAUGCGGGCAUGAAAAGGGGCUUCUGCCAUUUAGGGGCUUCCAGUACUGGCAGAUGAGCCAGGAAAAUAAAUGAAGUAAAGAAAAACUGGCCACAAAAAUUCUCGUGUGGACAUAAAACUAUUACAGAAUAUCUAUCUGGGCGUGGAAGCUCUGGAAGUAUUUGACAACAAAAUGUCUCUAAACUAAUCAUUUUGACGAUCUUCUACUUUCCAAACUAUGCCAAUAUAUGAGUAAAACAUGAUUUACUUGAGUGUAGGGGGUAGGGAGAAGAGGAUGGGCUGAGUUAGGAAGGACCGGUCAGUGCUCCCCACAGGUCAGGACUGGACGAUGCAGAACAGGAAGUGCAGUGCGGGGACAUCGUAACAAUCUCAGCGGCAAAACAUCAGGGGAUGGGUUUCAAGAAUAGCAACAGUUUUGAAGCACUAAAUCUCAAGCACGCGCGCGCGCACACACACAGACACACAGAAUACGCUAGAGCAUCCAUUUUCAAUCGUAUUUUUCUAGAGUUCACUGAUUUGAACUUCAGAUACAUUAGAAUCCAUUCACCCUGAAUAGAGGUUGGAUAUUGGCAUUUUUCCUGUGGUACAAACAAAGUAGGCUAUUGAUCAAUGCAAGGAGAUCACCCCACUUAAAGAGGUGCAUUGGCCAAAGAAGAAAGCACACGGGUCAAGACCUGCGGGGAAGCCGUGCUCACCGGGAUCCGGCCUCUGCUUCACAGGAGAAUGCUCAGUCGGAAUUGCAGGGACCUCCUGAGGUCUGGAUAUGGCUUGACUGAGACCCCCAGGGCACACCCAAGUUGGAAGCUUGGUCCUCAGAAUGGUGAUGCGAACAUUGGUUGGACUGUUAGCAUGUGGAGCCCCGUGGGAGGGCACAGGGGCACUGCCCCUGACAGGAAUUAAUGUAGCUCUGUGGGACCCCGUGAUUGUCAUCAGGGGGCUAUUGUAAAAGAGCAAGGCUGCCCCACCCUUACACCCACCACCCCACCUCACCACCUCCUCACUGCACUAUUCCAUCUCUCCCUCUUGAACAUGCUCCACCAUGAUGCCAUCCACCAUAAGGCUCUCUGACCCGAAGCUGAAUAAAUGGAUCUACCCAGUUUUGGACUUUGAACCUCAAAACUGUCAGUUAAAUAUGCCUCUUUUCUUUAUCCCUUUCUUUAUCCCUUCCCGGCCUUGAGUAUUUUGUGAUAGCAAGGAAAACAUACUAAGACAGACUACACCUGGCCCCCAGGGAGCUCAGGACUGGGUCCUAACCCAAAACUGCCCUGGUGCAUAAAAGUAAAGCCAACAGAAUCUACGCCAUUGCUAAUCUCCACUCCCCUGGUUUAAAGAGUUCAUGUCAGCUCCCACAUUAUCCCACAUUCUGCACUUAUUUUUUUAUUUCUAGGAAAGAGUGUAAAGAGAUUCUUGGGGUUUUUGUUUGGUUUGGUUUGGGUUUCGGUUUUAUGUUUGUUUGUUGGUUGGUACUAGCGUGGUCCCUUUGUGAUUUUAGCACAGAUAAGAUAAAUUAUUUGUGAAACAGUAUUACAUAAUUAACUGUGUUUUAGUGCACUGCGGCCAACCUUGUGGGAGGAAACAUUCUAACUGGAGUAUCUUCAGGGGCACUCAGAUGUUCAGAGUUUCACAGGAGCUUCUGGGAUUGUUCUUAGCUGAGUAACUACGUCAAAGACCGAUGGUGUUCACAUUUGUUGGUUUGUUUGUUUGGGGCUUGGACCCGCAGAGCGUGGAGUCGAACCUGACAGAGGAGGGCAGGAGGUGAAACAGGUCAGGGCAGAGCCUCCCGGUAAAAAGGAGGAAGCCAGCUGGGGGGGCAGCCUGUGCCCGCGCUGAGGGACCCCACGGCCGUCCCAGGCUGACCCUGUCCCGAGUGGCUCAUCUUGUAGAGCAGAAGUCUGCCGUAGCACAGGUGGAGUCCCAGGCCGAGGCGGGGGGAUGCACAGCCUGACAAGUCAACAGCCACCAGCUGCCCGGCACAACCCAGGACACACACCAACAGAUCAGUUAGUCCUGCUGAUAAGAAUGACCAUCGGAAGCACGUGGAUGCAUGCGUCUGUCAAACCCGCAGUGGCAAAACCAUGGUCCCGAGCUGGCAAGGAAGAUGUCACCAGGGCAAAUCCUAGUCUCUGAGCCCACAUUGCAGCAGAGCACCGUUCUCCUGCCGUGACCACCACACACAGCCCACUCCAAGUUGACGCUCCAGCCUGUCACUCUGAAACUGCCCUCUGUCUGGACCUGAGCUAGAACAAGUUCCCGGCUGGUUCUCAUCUGGCCACCUACCUUGGUCUCCGCCCUCCCCUUGGCCUCUCAGUUCAGCCUCCUGAACCCCGAGGCUGCCUCCCCCAGCCCCCCUGAGCCUUCUGUGACCUGGGCACAUCAUGUGUGAAUCAAGACUGGAAUGAAGGCACCCGUGAUUGCCUGGCUCACACCUUCCAGGUGACCCACAAGUAUUCAGUGACCGGCCACCGGUGAAGGUGGAGCAGCCUGGGAAUUGGCUGUGAUUCUCAAACUUCUUUGGUCUGUGUGAAUGGCACCACCUCUCAGGACAACAGCCUUAGGCUCCCCUUCCCUCCACCCUGGUCGUCCCUGGCAGCUCCCAGGGUGCCUGCAAAGUAACCCCAGGGCUGCAGGGAGCACAACGUGAGAACCAGCGUCUCACAGAAUGCAAGGUCUUGUAGUCCCGGAAGGAACACAAACAGGAGAAGACUAAAAAUAUCACUAAGUGCACAAGCUUCAGGGCAGUGAAUAUGAGAUUGAUAGAGAUCUCUUCACGUUCUCCAACCAGGGAGUCCUCUUUCUGUCCUCCAGGAGACACCAAGGUCACCUGGAGUGGUCCCAGCAGACAGAACAUGAGGAAGCACCUCCCCAGACCCUCCGCGGGCCUGGAAGGCGUUAGGGUACUGUCACUGAUGUUGAGCACUGUUCCAGAACCUGGACUCCGUGGUAGACAGGGCCGUGCUCUUGGGCAUCCAGUGUUCCAGGGAGCGGAACGGGGACAUGAGGGCUCAACCAAACCACCCCAGAGGCGGCCUGUGAAGGAAGGAGACACAGGGCAGGCAGCCGCCCUCCAGACGGCUCCGUCAGGCCCUGUUCUGCGAGCGCCGGCCCAGCGCUGUCUCUGGGUCUCUCUCCCCUUUCUGAAGGAUGAGGCAGGUCUGGGCUCCUUCCACUUCUUCUUUCCUGAGAAGGACUAAGGGAGCACCGUCGCUGUCCGCCCCCCCAUCCCCGCGCCCACCUUGGUUUUAGCCAGAAACCUGCUUUCCUGCCUUUUCUUUCCUCCUUGCCUCCCCCACCAACACGGCCUCAGUUCUGCAGGUUGGACACGAUAGGAAACAGAAGCAAACCAACGUGGAACCGCUAAGACGCUCUCCUGCCUCCUCCUCCGCGAGUGCCUGCCCAGUGGCCUUGGGGCCGAGGCCUGGCAGGGGGCAGGGGCAGGGCUGGGUGUCAGGGGCGAGAGUUCCUCACAUGGGGACAGCUGGUGCCAUCCCGGGGCAGGAACCUGCCGGCGUUCCCACAGAAUGGCUCCGUGCUCAGCAGCCCUGGUCAGUGAGGAACGGGACAGGGUGGGCUGUUGGUGGUCAGACGAGACAGGCGUGGGGACGUGCCAGGUGAAGUCCUGUGAGGAUGAGAGUCAGGGAACAAUGUCAGGACUGCAGAAGACAGGGUCCAGGGGGACCUGAGCAGAGGGGUGACACCACAGAUCAUCCCUAGCCUCGCUCUGCUCGUUCCACAGCGGGAAGACGGCGACGGUGGAGACCCGUCAAGAGAGGGAUGCGAUUAUCCAGAUCAACAAGAGUGAGUCCGGAAUGGGCCGGGCAGGCUCAGGAUUCCGCUGAGACUUAUCUAAAUGUUUGUUGGACUCAACUUCUAUUCUUGCUCCAUCUUUCGCUCUUUGCAGAAGGAAAUACUUCUGAAGUUUAUGUGAUUGAAUAGACCAGGGCCGGGACCCAGACGCUCACUGAGCAUGACCUGGUCAAAAAAAGGUAGGGGAGUGAGGAGACAGGCCUCAGGGCCCACUCAGGUGAGGCACACGGGAGGCAUCUGGAGCUUUGAUUUGCAACCGGCCAGAGCUGAAUUCUUCAUUAAAAUAAUACGCUUUAUCAUAUUUCAUUAUUUAUUAGCCAUGCAGAUGAACUGACCGUUCACACACGUGUGCGAUGACUGGUGGACGCUUCUCCAUCUGUCUGUCAAGCACUGUGAUAAAUGUUACCUUACCCCUGGGCCACACCCUCUGUGAUCCAAAGCCUCCUUCUGAGAGCAGCUGGAAGAGGGGACAAUUGACAGCUGGGGCACCACCCCUCUGUGGUGACGGCCCCGGCUGAGGCCCGCAGGGUUAGGGUCAGGGUUAGUGGUCAUUCUUAUUAGCACGAUUAAUGGAUUUAUUGGUUUGUGUCCUACGGUUGUGCCAGAAGCUGGUGGUUGUGACUUGUGCAGACAGGGUGUGGAGUCCUCCCGCCUCAGUCCUGAGGCCCCACGUGGGCUAUGGCAGACUCCUGCCAGGUCAGGAGGAGAGCCCCUCCUCCCCCUGGAGAUCUGCGGGAGCGCUGCAGCGUGAAGCUCCCUGGGGCUGACUGUCCCCGUUUCUGAGCAGCCAUGGUGACCACUGGGUUCUCUAACUCCUCCUUCCUCGCCUGUUUCUUCACUGUUGAUCCCAAGAGCACCCAUCAAAAACUCUUAGAGGAGAUCUUCACCUCGAAGUCGGCUUUCGGGGGCAUCUGACCUGCAGCAGACACCAGAUUGUCUUUUGCUGAUUGGAAACACCCCAGGAUCAGCGAGAUGAGUCUCACUGCCCGCUGUGGGAGGGACUGACCCAGCGGGUCGGGGUCACAGUGCAGGAGCUGAGAGACUGGGAGUGUGGCGAGGAGGGACACAUGUGACGAUACAGCAGCGUUAAAGGGGGGACCCAGCAGUGGAGAGGUGGCUCCCGUGGCCUCCCAACAAAGAGAUAGGAGGCCAUUCCUAGAAGCUCCCUUCCUGGGUGAGCUGCCCACACCAAUUUCUGUUUCAUCAAACCUGGAAUCUGACUAGAGCAAAAGGCCACCAGGAGUGGCUGCAGCUUUCAGAGCAGAGGACACGUGGGAGGCGUGGGCCACGUGGUGUGCAGGGUGGGCACGCUUACCUGCUGAAGACACAGUGAGGACACGGCGGCAUUAAGGGGGACCUGGGGGCUCUUGGCACCCCUUGGUGACACAGCUAAUCCAAUUGCUUUGAUAACACCAUGGAAUCGGUGUUAAGUGUAUUAAGUAUAGUAAUGAUUUUGUGUUUAGGUAGGAAAUAUCAUUUUCUUAAAUGUGCAGGUUUGUAUAUGUGGAAUGAGAACACAUUGGUAUUUAUGAAACAUGCAUUUUAGCAAGAAAAGCCAAUUCGACAAUGUUUUUAUCAAUAUUAACUAUUAGGGGUUCAGAUAUUUUUCUUUAUACUAUUUUCUCUAAUGUUUAGAUUCUAAGCAUGUGGAACAAAGAAAGAAAACUGCAUAAUUCUAAGUCUGAACUUACUAAUAUAGGGACAGUUACCAGAUUUUAAAAAGUUAACACGCCAAUUCAGGUAUCAUUGUUUUCUUUUCUCACUGACUGAAUUCUACAUUCAGCAUUGACACAUGGGAAAUAAAGCUGACAGGUCAUUCAUUUAUUGAGAUAUUUUUUAAAGAGUUACCUAGGGACUUUGAGAGAAGACUCCUGAGGUGGUCUGGACCAUCUGCCCGUGCUCACCCCCCAUGGCCUCUGAGAGGCCUUGGGAACACCCGUCGCCACAGCCUUGAGAAACACACGGCCCAGGGGACCUGGAAUCUCUGUUCUCUGUAGGUGGAGGGGAGGAGAUGCUGAGAUGAGAGGAGCUCAGGGGUUCCACCGGGAUGGAGAGACACAGGUGGCGUCCCACCACGAGACACAGGUGUGCGUCACUACCUGACACCCUUGGGCCAGCAUGGUGAUCAGAGCAGUCUCACCAGCAGUGACAGUCUGCAAAGCCACAGCGGUGUUUCAGCCUUUGCAGGGGUGUGUGGCGUUGUGCAAUGCAACAUUAGAUCCUACCACAACACCUUCAUUAACAGCACGUCUGUGAAAAGUGGGGGCUUAGUGGGCCACGCUGGUGAGAAGACUACAGGAAUGGAGAAAUCAACAGGAAUUGAGGGCAGCAGUUUUCAAUAUGAUUCCAAUACUUGACCAGUUGAGUAGUGGCCGACGGGUACACAUGUCCCAUUACUCAUUGAACCAAACAACAACAAAACUCCUUUCUUUCAAUUUAUACAAACGAUGUUUCUCGUGUGCACACUCUGUGGGUUAAGUAGUUGAGAAUUUUUGAGAAUGGAAUAAAAACACUUUUCCUUCCAUUUUAUAUGUACCUCUCUUCCUAUAGUUACUAGGUUGUUAGGACAUAGAUACAUAUCAAACUGCUUAAUCAACAGAACUGUUAGAUAUUUAAUUUGACCUAGGGCACCGUAAAAGUUACUGCAACACUACAGACAUCAAGCACGAGAACACCAGGAAACCUUCCCCCACAGGUAUCCUGACAGCGAGGCGUUCGCUCAUCUGUUAUGAGGACUAAACAACUUGACUAUAUGGCACUAAAAGAAAUGUCCAGAACUAAAGGACAGGGGCCAGGUUUGAUUAACCACAGAGUCCCUUAGUAAGAUUACAGACCUGAUUAUUUCAUGAACUCAGAGUCCCUCACAUGAAGAAGAGGAAAAAAUGUUGAAGCAAUAAUAUGACACAUGAAGAUUUUGCUGGGCCACCAUUAAACUCACAGUGGCUCUGGCCAUACAGCAUUCUAGAGGACUCCACAUAAGUCCACUGUCUUUAUAAAUGAACAUUGAAAGGACCUGAAAAUCAUCAGGUAGAAAUACUGUACCUAAGUGUUUUGAUAAGGAAAUGUGCAUCAGAGAACAGAGGUGAGUUUAUAAAGCUACCGCAGCCUACCACAGCAGGAACUUGUCUACAGUGGCAGAGGACAGGAAGAUCUCAAGUCUAUCAACACGGAAAGCAAAAAUGAUCCACCAAAAAUGAUCCUGCUACCAAAAAUACUUACACAACAUUUUCAGGGAUUUCAGAUUCUGGGGGGAACAUAUACCACCUUUACACUUCUAAUAGUUUUGAAUGAGAUCCAGGUCAAGGGAAGGCUCUUUGCCGUGCUAGGACUUUGUGCCAGCAGUUCUGCCAAUCUGACUUGCAUGACAAAGAGAAUCAUGUACUGCGUAGCCUGAGGGAAAUGCUUGUAAGAGAAUCAAACUCAAGACACCCUGGCUUGGAAGCAAAGCCAAGCCCUCUUUCUCAGGUAAUUCUACUUUUAAAAAAAUAGGUCUUUUCCUGUGAUUCUUUAAGCAUAAUUAACUUGUCUUGUUCAAGUUUGGUAACACUCGAGAAGUACCUGAUAGCAACAAACUCAAACAUCGUCAGUAGGAAACACCUUCAAGGGGCUACAAGAUUCAGGUAAUUAAAGUCCCACCGAAUGUGAACUCACAGCCCAAAGUUAGAAAAUACUUGUAGACACACACGUAUUAGGACUAGGCUCCCACCAGGAGUUUAUAAUUGAACAAAAAGCCAGAGACUACAAAAUUAAAAUGUUCAAAAUAAUUACACAAAGGAAAACAUGGGAAAAUGACAUAUUUUGAAAAAAAAAGAAUGCCUAAAAUGAAAAAUAUAUGCAUUGAAAUUGCCCCUGUAGAGAGAUUAAAUUGGAAUCUAGCUACAGGUAUAAAGAGAGUUAAUUAACUGGAAGAUAUAUCUGAAACCUAGAAAGUAGCACAGACAGGCAAAUAGAUGGAAAAUACGAAUAGGAAAUGAAGAAACAAGACGAAUGAAAUGAGAAGGCAAUAUAUAUAUAUAUAUAUGUAUUUAAAGGUUUUCUGAAUGAAAGAGGUAAGUUAAUUGGACAAGAUAUUGAAAAUGUUUAGUUUUGAUGAAAGAAAAGAAUACAGAAAUUUAGAAACCAUUAUGUCCACAUUGAUCUCACAUUGAAACCAUAACACAGGAAAGGUAAAGAGAAAAUAUAAAGGCAUCUGAAGAGAAGAGACAUUAUUCUUUGCAAAGAAAUAGCACAUAGUCCAGUCCCAAUCCAUUCAAUAGCAACAAUAUACAUCAAAGGUAAUGAAAUAAUAUAUUCAGUGUUGAGAAAGAAUAAUUAUCAAUUGAGUAUUUCAUGCCCAGUCAAACUACCAUUCAAGACUGAACAUGAAUUAAUGUUUUCAGACUCAUACUGUGUGAGUUUACCAUUAAGAGACCCUUACUGAAAGAAUUUCUAAGUAUGUGAGUAGUUACAAAAGAAUUUCAAUCUAGAAAGAAGAACAUAUGAGCAAAGGGAUUGGAAAACAUCCAUAAUUCUAAGCAACCACUGAAAUUCGUAAUAUAAUCAUAAUAAUUUUCAACCUUGCAAGUACACAAGAUCAAAAUAAAAUAUAAAAGGUAAAAAUAGGAUAUAAUGAUGGGUGACUAGAUUUCCAUUGACCCAAUGUUCUUUUUUCUUCCCCAAUGGAGGUAAAAGAUAGUGAUUAAUUACAAACUUGUUAAGGACAGUGUGCAUAUUAGAAUUUUAAGAAAAACACAAAAAGAAAAGAAAUUGAAUGUAUAGCUACAAAAAUAAUAGACAUAGAAGAGAUCAUCAAGAAUGUUACUGCAUGAUCAUGACAGACCAAGGUACCAGAGAAAUCUAUACGCUCACAAUGAACUGAAUGUUUCUGAUCCACUUAAAUAAAAAAUCCAGGGGCUGGGGUUGUAGCUCAGUGGUAAAGCACUCACCUAGCACAGGCGAAGCCCUGGGUUUGAUCCUCAGCACCACGUAAAAAUAAGUAAAUACAAUAAAGGCAUUAUGUCCAUCUACACCUAAAAAAUAAAUAUUUUUUUUCUAAAUUCCAGGCAUCCCCACAAGCCCUCCAUCAUUUAGGAGAAGUCGCAUAUCAGGAUCUGACCUGAGCAAGUCCCAAGUGGGCGAGAAAGUGGGUCUGCUCCCAUUAUGCUUGCUCCAGCCGCACAGUGUCACCCUGCUUCAUCACCACAGCCAUGACCUCAUGGGAAGCUCUCCAAGACCAUAUUUUGAGUUUUAUGUACAGAAGGUGCAGCUUGACAUGGCCUGAAUGUCCUGCUUCACCAUUAGGAAGCCACACAGAGAUGGCUCUAAAGGUUAGUGGAAAACAGGUGUUCUUCCCAAGAGACCAACUUGAAAUGUUUAACUUGUGGUUUGUAUGAAAGGAGAAGUUCUCUCAGAUACGGACCUGAGUCUACUGGCCAUGCUUCUCAAAGGAGCAAAACACAAGGAUUAACCACAGAGAGUUGGAGAAGAGUGUAUGUAGAGAUCUCUUGGAAAGGCCCCUAUAUCUAGCCACCUCUAGCCUCUUAAUCUAGCCACCUAGUUUGUCCAGUGAUCUUAUAAACAAGCUGUCCAGGCUGGGGGGCUAGAAAUGAGGCAAGGUCUCUAUAAUAGCAACUUGAUAUGUAAUUUGAAGCAGCUACUACCAUGCUAAAUGCCCAAUUUACCCAACUACUGAGUUCAACUCCAAGUAUUCAAUAUGGUGUCCCUCAGUUAGGGACAGUCGGCUAACUGCUAUCAAGUCCAUUACAUCAGAUGUGGAAAGGAAAACAACCUAACUCACUAGGUAGAGUCAUUAUUUAUUUGAAUGUCUUCUCUGCACACCACUCUUCUGCCAGUACCAAUGUGGACUAUUGAAUGUUAGUAGAAAAUUAUAGUGGCCACAUGCAGACUGUAUCCCAAGGGAAUACAAGUCAGGUUUCCCCGUCAGGUAAAAUCCUGUCAGCCAUGUGUCUGGCUAGAGGCCAAAGAAAAGGGAAUGGGGAGGGAGGAACCACAAAACUCCCACUUAUUUCCUUUGUUCAUGAGAAUCACCGACACAUAUAGUAUGAUCUUGGGAUGUGGUCUUGCCAGAAAAAAGCAUUUUAGUGGACUGUUCUUUCAGAAGUUUUCAUUAUAAAAAUAAUGAUUUUCUUUUCAAUUACAUUUUUUUAAUUUUUUAUUUGUUUUAAUUAGUUAUACAUGACACUAGAAUGCAUUUAUGCACCUUGGCAUAUCAUUCAUAGAUGGGAUGUAAUUUCUCAUUUUUCUGGGUGUACAUGUUGCAGAAUCAUAUUGGUCAUGUAGUCACAUGUAGACAUACAGCAAUAAUGUCUGUUUCAUUCUGCUGUCUUUCCUAUCCCACAUCGCCUCCCCUGCCCUCCCAUCACUUCCCUCUACAUAAUUUAAGGUAACGCUAUUCUUCCCUAGUGCCCCCUGCCUUAUUGUGAAUUAGCAUCCACAUAUUAGAGAAAACAUUUUAAUCAUGAUAAUGAUUUUUCAAACUAUAUGUGCUGCCCCAGAGAAACUUGCAAGGCUCCCUCAUGGGAUCCUUCAGAUCAAUGCACAGGGUGGGAAGAAAGCGGCUCUCUCCUGUGCUGUCAGAGUGGAGCACAUUAGAGCAAGAAAACACAUUGAAAUCCUCCCACUGCCUUGCACCUGAUGAGCAUAGCACUCCCAGGUGUCCUCGGAACCUGUAGCCUACAGCACAAAGGCAUUCUAUCUAAACCCUGAUGGUUACUUCUAUGAAAACAGAUGUUCAAGAGGGGACAGAGUCACAUUAAGAAAACACACACAUAGAUUCCCAUAAGGCAAAUUAAUGUAUUCGAAGAAACACAACUGAAGUGCUAUUUGAUGUGGUUGCUGGUUGCAAGUCCAUCUGCUCUCCACUAGAAGCCCAACACUCUGGAGAUGAGAAUUGGUGGGAAGGGAAUCAGGUUGAUUCAAGGGCAGUAAGAAGAUGGGGGAGCCCAUCUCCACCCUCCUGGCCACCACUUUAGGGAGAUGGCUAUGCUUUUGCAGGGAGGAGAAGGAGGUGUAGCAGGAGGACACGCAGGUGGGCUAUGAGCUGGGUUGGGCCUUCCUCAUCCAGGGUGUCUGCUUCCCCCUCUGGUUGGAACACCACCAUCAACCUUGACCUCCUGGGCUAGUCUCCGGGACUCUUUAGACAAGUUCAACCUCACAGCCAUGUCCGUGCUUUGUGUUACCUGAUGCACAGGACCAAAGAACAGGAGGGCGUUACACAUUCCCACGUUAUCUGAAGGUCACCAGGUGUCUGCUUUUAGUGAGCUAGAGAAAAUUUAUUUAGCUGGUGACAUUGUCCCCAUUUAUGUAUGGCUUUUCUUUAAAUUUAGAUAGAAUGUCAGGUAAAGGGAGGGAGUAACUCUGCAGAGGAGUGGCCACCCCCACUGCAAUAUUUAAUUUGAAAUUUUGUUCUGUUAACCGUUACACGAACCAGGUUUCUUCCAGUAAAUUUUCCAUUUGAUAUUCCUGGCUAUUAAAUUAAAAGCGACCUUCUUGCAAAGACAGAUACUGUCAUGAGCUAAUGAGGAGACUGACUGAUCCUGAAUGUGCCCGGCAGGAAUGAGAGAGAGACGUCAUCCAUAAAGGGAUUGUGCACCUGGUGGGAAAUGUCUUCUGGUGCCAGUAAAUCUGGACACGCCCUUCCCAUGCAUUGCAAGAAAACGAUGUUUUGGAUUCUGUAUUCUACGGUGGUUUUCAUGAAAGUACUGUUUUGGUGCAUCUCGUUUCUCAGAAGCAAACAAAUGUGGGUCAGUGGCGCCUAAGCAGCAAGGGACAAUAGGACCCAAUGCACUGUUGGUUACAGAAACAAGAAGAAAGCAGGAACCAGGCAACCACAGUGUCAGGCACAAGAGCCAGGAAGGAAGAUUUACCAGUUCACCAACUAGAACUGAAACAAAGGAAACACCUGUUGUGGUCACAGAGGCCAGAGACAGUGAGGGUAGGUGCGGGCAGGGGUCCAGGAUCCACAGAGUGAUGAGGGAUAAGCUUUACUGUUGGCGGGGUGGGGGGAGGUGUGGAAGAAUCUGGAAAACACCCAGUUUCUUUCUGCUGAAACACCAGGUGGCCAUCUGCUGCUGUCUCCUGUGCUCUUCUCGCCCAACCGUCCUAGGACUUGUCACAGUGCCCGUUAACUCUGCCACACAGUCCUUCUGCUCAGGGUGACCUCGGUGUCCACACAGUGGACUCUUGCAGAGCAGUCGGUUCACAUCUCCAGGGACCUUCACCAUCACACCUCAGCUACCCACUCCUGUGGCACCUCCUGACCCCCAGACGCUCCUAACUACGGGCCUCCUGAGGACUCUAGUGCAGACCUGCCAUGUCCACACCCGGCCCACCCUUCUGGGGGCACUGGUCACGCUGCUUCACCUGCCCCUGAUCCACACACGCUCUCCAGUUCCACCUCCCCCCAAGGAGCCCUGGUCACACCUGUCCUCACUCAGCCAACACUCAGGGACCGUCUUGCCAAAGCUCUUCUCCCUGCCUCCCUGUCUUUCCGAUGUUCUCAUCUGUGUCCAGAGACAAUCCAAACAGAUUCAGCUUCAAGACUUUGACUGCCUUCCUUGAGAUUCUAGGAUGGAGGACUUUUCCCUCCUUCCAAUGGGAUGAGGGUUCCAAUGAGCCAGGCAGAAGAGGUUGGUUUUACAGAGAGCGAAGGCGGGAAAAGCAGAGGCAAAGAAGGACAUGCAGAUGAUAGAGUUUCAAAGCUAUUUUCUUCCUAAGGCAGGGACAGACAGAGAGAAGGACAGAAGACGGAUAAUAUUGGGCCACUGCAGGUCGCUUUGUAAGGACUGAAGCAGGGAAUAUUUGCGCCGGUUGAAACUGGCCUGUGGGAGAAGUGCUCAUCGCUCUCUUCUGACUUCUUACAGGUCAGAGAGCAACUUAAUUCCAACAUGGUGAUGUGGGACUUUGAGUUUAGCCUGCUCUGUUGGGACCCAAGGCCAGAGCUCAGUCCAAAACAAUGGUCCCCUGUGAUUUUUAUUUAACACACGAUAACCUGACACUGAAUUAACACACACCAAUGUUUGCUUAGCCUCUGCAAUCUACAUCAGAUCCUGUUCUUCACCUCUGUCCUUCCUCAUUCUUAACAGAUGAUCUUGGCUCUUCCUUAAUAGAGAAAAUAAAAGCCACCAAGUAGGCCGACCCAUUUUCGACCCUGCCUACGACCUCACCUGCAACAGCAGUCCCCAGUCUGACUGCCCUGCUGCGUGUUAGGUGCAGAAGGUGUUUCUCUGGUUGUCUGAGUACUUCUCUCAUGCUCUGGACCUUACCUUCAGCUCCUAUUUAAAAUGUAGUUUUUCAUACUUAAAAUUUUAAUUCAAUAAUUUUUUUAAAGAAGGUAACUUAGUAAAUCAUAUAUGCAAUGUCUUCCAUCCAUGCACUCAGUUGACAUGGCCCCCUUUGUAAAAAUUCAGCUACAAAAAAAUCAGAUAUAUAAAAAUGAGGGACAGAUAAAGCAUGUACCCAGUGAAGUGUAAUUCAGAAAAAUUCUAAGCUCCACAGGAGAAGUGAGGUAAAGCAGACUGUCCAAAGGAGGAAAUAUUAAUUUCGACCCAUGGCAGGAGGAACUUUCUGCAGUCCUAAGACUUAAAGGGAUGGAAUAUAAAUUGGAGCAUAAGGAUCUGGAGCCAGGGAGAGUCCCAUCGAGGAUGCGAAUGGCCGUGUGCCUGUGUUCUGAAGAGAAGCCUAAACGUCAGCCGUUCCUAGUGAAGAGCUAGUGGUUGGAGAUAUUGGAGAUAUUGAAAAAGAGGCCACGAGGAGCAGAGAUGUCGGAAAAGCCCCAACCUCUACCCCUUCCUAAGACGACUCCUGUCUUCACAUCUUUCCUUAUUCGACCUGUUUGAGUCCAGCUCAUAAUGACUCCAAAUGCCAGACCAAGAAACGCAGGCCUCGUUCUUCAGAACGCAUAGAUUGUAAAAUGCUCCACUUGUGUUUGGCUUUUAACCAGAGAUGAGAAACUCGGAGCUGUCAUUCAAAAGGCUGGUCUGAUUGGAGUGUUUGAAGAAAUUAAGAGACAAAGGAGUCAGAGAAUCAAGCUCAAAAUGAUCAUUAUUAUGAAUAUCAUGGGUGCACUGUAUCAUCAUGAAGUUUUCCAAUUAGCCAUAAUAUCCCAGAAGAUCUACUGGACAUUCAUGUGAGAAUCCACUCUAUACAGUUUACACAGCUGGCAUUUCAAAGAAGCAGGUUUAUCAUCUGCUUUUGUAAAUUUCAUAAUCUUAUAUUAAAAAUAAGAUAUAAAAGUCCAACUAACACUAUGAAAUACAGACUACAACAGUUCAAAAAAAAACUGCAAUUAUUAAAGUAUAGAUUACCCGGCUCUUAGGAGCAAGGGUUGGCAGGCUGUUCUCUAAAAGGCCAGUGAGUGAAUAAUUUAGAAAUCUGUGGGAUAGUUGGUCACUGUUGCAAAUACUCAAUAUUUCUGUUGAAGCAAAAGAAGCAACCACAGAAAAUACAUAAAGAAUAGGUAUGAGCCAGGUGUGAUAGCUCUGGCUCAUAAUCCCAGUAACUCAGGAGGCUGAGGAAGGAUAGCAAGUUCAAGGCCAGCCUUGAACUUUUUAUUUAAAAAAAAAAAAUAACUAGUGGUCAAGGGAUCCUGGGUUCAAUCCCCAGUACCCCAAAAAAGAAAAGAACAGGCAUGGUUGUGUUUCAAUAAAACUAUAUUUAUAGAAACUGUCCCAGGAUAUCCAUGGAAGCUAAAAUUCAUGGCAGAAAGUUUGAUGAGAAACAUGACAUUUAUCUAAUCUUGACAUCUGGCCUCUGGUGAAGGCCCAGUCAUCACAACAUGGCGGAGAACAGGAAGGACAUGGCCGCGGGCAGAAGCGGGAGGCACAACAGUUGCCUUGCUUUGUAACAGCCCAUUCAGGAAGAACUCACUGGCCAACCAGCAGCAAUCCCCCCGGAGCAGCACCCCAUGACCUAGUGACCUUGCACAGCCCCCAACUCUCCAAGGUCCCUCCACCUCAACACCACCCCACUGAGGACCAAGCCUCCAGCACACAAACCUUCUAGAACAAACCACACCCGCCCGGCAGCACAGGUCAACCAAGGGCAGGAAAAACUUGCAAGGUGGUGGGAUAAGAAUCUUAAAGCCCUGAGAGGCUGGUGUGAGCAACUCCCGCAUCAGGCAGAAUAUCAAUGCUUCAGAAAUUUCCAGCUGGCUUUGAACAGACUCUUUUUAACAUAGGAUAACCUGUGAUUCCGUUAAGAAAAAGACAAAACUGAGCUUGGUCAAGUAGAAAAGGCUAAUGAAUCCAUGGCAUAUUUCAAAAUAUUUUCAUGAAUGUUAAAGAAGCUAAACAAAUCAAAACUUCCAGCCCUGUGAGAAGAAGGAAGCCUGUCACUUUAAUGGAACCUGUGCCACCAGGGGCCUCGCGCUGCCACCGUAUUUAAGUUUAAACAACAACAACAAAAAUCUAUCUAAGAAUCGGGCAGAUCCAGGUGUUACGGGCCCAAGAUUCAGGCAACGUGCAGAUCUCUUUUCAGGGAAAAAAUGUAAAAUUAUGAAUAUAGAAUUAGAUGUAAUAAUAAUGAAGAAAGAGAAAAUAAAUCAUGAUAAAUUAUGAUUUUUAAAAAGUUGACAAACACAAAAAUCCAGGAAAGUGGUUGGUGGAUACUCAGCAUGACUUUUUAUACUUUUUCUAGAUUUGGUGGCUGCAUAUUCUUUGACUGCCUUUCCACGUGACAAAAUUCUGUUAUAGUGUGAUCUGUGCAGAGGGAGGAAGGGGGUCUGCUGGCAAGAAGCCCGAAAACUGAAGUUUCAUUGGCAACAAGUAAAUAUUCCCCUUCCCACAGAUAAAAUGCUUCUGAGCAAUGCUACAUUGCUUGUCGGAGCAUUGAAGGGUGACCUCUGAGUGUCAGAGUCCUAGGUAAGUUGGAAGUCCAGGGGCUAUGCCAAAUCCACCAAGCUCCUGGGCUUUGGGGCAUUUUAUUAAUAAAGAAGAAGCUUUUGAAACAAAAGGGGCCUAGCUGCUCUAUAUGCAUGGAGUGAUCACAGAACCAAGGGAGUCGUAGUUAAAUAAGUCUAAAAGAGCUCCCUCAAUAAGAAUAAAGGCACACCCUGAGAAAGCGUGGUGGAGAGUGUGUCCCCUGAAACCUUGGAGCAUAUUACAAUCAAGGAUCUCAGAGCCACCAACACUCAGGCAGUUUAUUUUGAUCCCUUACUAUGGACAAGUCACGCUCAGAGUUCAAGAAAUUUAGGGAAAAUCCAGCAAAGCACUUUCAACAAGUAAAAACGGACAUUGAUUUAAAACCCCCAGGUCCAGCGGGGGUUGGGCCCAGUUAGUGCAGUGAGGGUCCUGACCAAGCAGGACCCCUGUGGAUCAGAGGAUGGAGCAGAGUCAGAGGAUGAGCUUCAACUAGCGUCUAUUCGGCUCAUAAAGUGUGAACACUAAUUCCACAGCAGGAGCAAGGAGUCAAGAGUGCAGCCAGGCAGAACUCGGGGCGGCACCAGGAGAGAACCAGGCCCCCAUGUUGUGUGGAUCCGAGUCCACCCGGCUCCCUGCUUCCUGCAUGGCCCCUGGGAGAGCCCCGGGAAUACAGCCGGUGAUCAUCUGCGUAUCUGGGGCAGUUAAAAGAACUGCCCCUGUUUGAUCAAAAGCAGUGAAACUCACGGCUAAAAUCACUGCUAGGUUAAGGGCUGCGAAUAUGCAAAUCAGGAUGAAACCUGUAUCGUAUCGUUGUUCCUCGUGGCAACGCUAGGACCCGUGUGCGGAAGGUGUGAGGGGCAGUUCUGAGGCCUGAGAAACAGGAUCUGUGGUGGAACGUUCGCCUCCGUUAACUUAGAAGAGUGCCGCAACACUCUCGAUUGUCGGUAGUGUUUGUUAAAUUAAUAAGAAGUAAGAAGUGAGCAGUAGUAGGCUGCUCAUCAGUUCCAUUCUACAGACAGGCAACCGAGACCCGGGAAGCUGGUGUUACUUUUCCACAAACAACAGAGCCAGGAUUUGAACCAGAGACCAGGUUCUGCCCGCGCAUACUCACCAGGCAGGGAGGGGCUGACCUAGUCCCCCGCCACAGGAGUGGGGACCCUGGGUCCCACAUCUCCAGUCUCGGUCGUGUGGGGACCUCAGCUGUUGCUGAUGUCACUUGUCACAGCCUGUUUGGGCCAGUUCAGUCUCUGUAUUAACAAGGCGAAGUCAGUCCUAUGGAACAAGGCGCCUGCCAGGCACCAGAGAAGCGCAGGACACACCUGUGUGGAACCAAGUCCUGCCGACCACCAACACCUCACAGAAACCUACUCUGGUAUUCUGUGGGCUCCCUGCAGAUUCCCACUGCAUCAAGAAGCAGGGUCCAGCUGGCUCUCCUCGAGCGCCAGAGCUGUGAGCUCCACGCCCCGCUCAGCCCACUAGGAAUGCGUGUCCAGCCUCGGCCAGAGGCCAGCAGCCUCCUGUUAUUCCACCGCGGUCACUGCCCUGUCACCAGGCAGGCGAAUGAUUCGGAGCAGGAGUGGCAGUAUGUGAGGUGGGCACCCUGACGGACAGCAGGCCCCAGAGGAGGAGUCACAGCCUGGCAAGGACAUGCCAGGGGGCAGGUGUCCUUGAAGACCUGAGAGGUUCCUUAGCCAGAGAAUUUUAAUGAAGGUAAGAAAACCUGUCACGUUAAGGUUGCCAGAGAGUCUCAGGAAGUCAGGGCAGGAUGGGGUCCAGGAAAAAGAACUGGGUAUGCCACAGAAGGCCCAUGGGCCAAAGGCUGCGUCCCCAGCCCUUGGCACUGGUAGGAGGUGGUGGGACCUUUAGGACGUCAGGCCCAGAGGGAGGUUUGGGGUCACAGAGUGGGGCAUGUCCUCAUGAGGACUGUGGACACCAAGCUCUUUCUCCUCUGUUUGCUCCCAAGCUGCCGGGAGCCGACAGCUUCCUCCACCACAUACUCCCAUCAGGACGCGCUGCCUCUCCACAGGCCCAACACGCAGGGCCAGCCAACCACGUACUGAAGUUCUCCACAACCGUGACCCAAAUAAACCUUUCCUCUGUUUAACUUGAUUAUCUCAGGUAUUUUGUUACAGUGAUGCAACUAACACAGGAUAGGAACAAUUAUUGUGUAACUACCAAGCAUCAAGGAUUGUACCAGAUAUUUUUUCAUUACUAUCUAAUCUAAUUCUCCCAAAGCCCAAGGUCCCUCAGAUAGUAAGUAACAGAGUUAUAAUUUGAACUCAAUUUUUUUAUGAUUCCAAAUUCAUUGCUCUUCCCACUCUAUUACCUGUUUAAUAUAUUGAGCAACACCUUGACAAAAUUUCUCUUUAAGAGGAUAUUCUUGUUUUAUUUCCUAGAUGCUAAUGCUACAUCAGAUAUCCGAUGUGAUUUUUGUGUGAGGUUAUUCUACUGAAUUGGUUUGUGGAAAUGUUAACGACUAAGGUUUUAACGGGACCAGCAGUAACUAUUUAGUGGUACCAGGGCUGCAAAUGUACAUGAGUUUUCCGCGAAGAAAAAUGUAGGCAACCACCAGUUUCUGUUUGAAAAUAAUGGAGUCAGUGCCUGGUGCUCACCAGCUCUACCGUGGGACUCACCUGGAAGACUGAGCUGUGGGCCUUCGCAGACCAAAGCCUGGACACAUUCAGAUGCACAGCUUCUAGCUGUGCAAUAAAUGAACUCAGUAAGAAAAUACAACCCCAGCAGAGAACUAUGGACAGACAUACUCAUGGAGACAGGGCUGGGGCCGGCCACAGAAGGCCAGCUUUCAUCCAACGAGAUCCAAGACGAAGGGAAAAGGGUUCUGUUUCUCCUAAGGAGAACUAGAAGAUAUCCAUGACGGAAGGAAGGUUCCAGAGGUAUGUAUCUGCCAUCUCCAAAGUCAAGGAGCCUCAGAACUGUAGCCUCUGUAGCUCUGGAGUAAAAUAGGUCAGUGACCAGCUGCUAUCGAAAUCUGCAUUUCAACCCACCGAAGAAGUGGCUGUUUCACAAUCAGAACCUGCUGAAAACGGAACGAGUUGCUUGAGGAGGUGAGAAGCCCUUCCGCUCUAGGUGAGGGAGGAAGGGGGGCCUUGGCUGAGCUGUCUCUCGGGGUACUGUGACGAGCUCCUGUGGUCUGUCUUCCAGGGUUGGAAUCUCCUAUUUAUGAUUCUCCUCAGUGUCCCCAUUUUUCUCUCUAGGAGAAUACCUGCAGCAUCUGCUCCAUGUCCUUCUGUGGGAUGCCUCCUUCCUGUCCCCAGCAACUUCUCCAUCCUUGACUGAAUCCGCCUUCUUUCCAGUCACCUGGGAAGGCCCGCCGGUCCUCCUGCACAUCACACCACGGCUCACCCUCACACAUGGCAACCCGUGUGCUCUGGAGAGUACCAAGAGUGAACUCCAGGGCAGGAAUCACAGUGAAAUCUCCAGCGCUUCACCGUAUGGGCAGGAAAACUGCAGCUCCUGGAGGUGGUACGAAGUGCCCAGGGCAGCAGGAGCCUCCCAGUGGGUCAGCCUGACUCCCCGUCUUCAGGUGCGGAUGGCAGCCAACCCGCCCUGACCUCACCCUGGACCAUUCCUCUCGCUGAGGCCCCGGCUUGCUGAGGCCGACUGGUUUCUUGGAAUGUGACAGGAAGAAAUACACAGGCUUUUCUUCACCAAAGAGUCUCGGUGACUCCUUCUGGUGUAGAGGUCUUGACAGAGGCCCUGAUUCAACAAGGAAGUGAGUUCUGCAAAAUAAAGCAAUGCGAGUCCCAAGGAGAUGGGAUUUUCCUUCUCAGCUACCACCUAAAUUGCAUAUUCCAUUUUUUAUUUAUUAAAAAGUUAGUGCAGAUUUGAGCAAAAACUAUUUUCUCAAUUCUGAAACAGAACAAAUCUGGGAUGUCAGAAAUCUCAAACCAGAUCUGUGCCAUGUAUUUGUCUCUCAUUCUGAGUUCUUAAUCAGUGUUAAAUUACUACAGAUGGCAUGGAUAUUGUCAUCCUGUAAACACGAGUUCACCCAGAGACGAGUCAGCCCACAGCCCAUCUGGAGACAGGCAGCAGCCACCACGCGCCAAGUGUGUGUUAGUCUCCUGUGCCCUGCUAAAGCCCACGGCCAUCCUGGAGGUAGACGCUGUUCUCCCGGGUCUUUGAGAGACAAGGGCACCUGAUCGUGUACUUUACAAACCGUGGGGCCAGGGCUUGAGUGCAGAGCUUGGGAGCUCUUUCUUCUCUUUGCAUCUCUUCCCAAAGAAAGCCCCAGAGGUCACCAACAGACUGUGGGGAGUUUGCCGAAGGGGAGCGUGUCUACCUUCAGAAAGGAGACCAAGGAGGAUAGGACAUUAGGAGUGGAGAAGAAUGUCCAAGUGUCCAUCAAUCCAAGCAGAGAAAACAUGCCCCAGGCAUGGAGGAGACAAGUGGGGAGAGGUGUCCAAGUCCAUCAGCAAAACAGGCUGAGCCAGACCUCACCUUGAAGGGGGCCACUGCCCACAUCACCAGACCUGUUCCUCACUGGGGUCCUCUGUAGGAGGUGGCCAGGACCAACAGGGCAAUGGUUUGAAGUAGGAGCUGUGGGUAUCUGUCAGCUGUGGGCCCACAGCCAAGGCACACAGCUCUCCUGGGAACCGGCAGCCCAAGCCUCACUGCCACCCGGCUGUCACCGUGCACCUCGGCUGUCACUGCGCACCUUGUGGGCAAGGCGCUUAGAGGCCUCAGAACUAUGUUUUUAAAAUGCAAAUUAUUUUCUAGAGAUUGCAAACUUCAGAGUUCUAAAACCAGUAAGAGCAAGCCGACUUCUCCCACCAACUCUAUUCAGAUUCAUGGAUUCAAAGUUGGAGUUCACGUUUUCUUUCUUAUUUUCUUUUUUCCUUACUUUGCACUCUCUUCCUUAUUUCUUCUUCCUUUUCUUCCUCAGUUUUAAAUGACUUUUUAAGUAGACUCUGUGUGGAGGUUAUGAAGGAGCUUGAAGAAGUCAGUUACCCACGUGGAGGAACUGGGGAGACGGAACAUGUGUCCCUACAGUGACUCUAGUAGCCAUGCGGUAGGUCUCCUGCCUCUUCAAGAUGUGUCACCUUCUCUCAAAUCCAAUCAUCUCUCCACUUCUACUUUGUUUUGAUUUUUUUCAAGUUUCCUGCCUUCCGAAGUCUUCCAUUUUUCUAAAGCCAUUGUUUAUCACCUUUGACCAUUCUCAUCUUCAUUUCUCAAAGAUCACUUCCAUUAUUUCAAGUUCUUUUCCAAGCUCUGUAACCACAUUUCUGAAUCUAUUUAAUUCAGUUUAAUCUCUGCUAACCUAAGUCAGAAUAGUUGUUGCCUCUGAUAAGAGGUCGGCACUCAUGGAACAUUCUAGGUCUUGAUCUUGAUGAGGUGAGGUUCAGGGUGGACAUUUGCCGUCACUUAGUGAGCUAUGUCCUUAGGGGUUGGCUGUUUCACCACAUGUAUAUAAAUUGUACCUUAAUAAAGUACUGCUGGGGGUGGGGCAAGAAUCGUUCAAGCAUGACCCUGGCAGUUCGAUCCCCAGCACAGUCAUCUGCUUCUGCUAAAUAUUUUAUUUUUCCAUAAAAGGUAGGGACCUAAAUAUACUGGAUGAGGCUCCUGUGGAGAUUAACCGAAGCUCUAGUCUCUGUAGCAUCAAGGUAGGGCUCCUUCAGGGACUUCCCGAUCUCCGGCAAGGGAAGUCCAGUGCCCCUUUGAACCACUGUAAGUGGUUCCUCUUUAAUCGCACAAGCCCACGGGUUUAAUGAAAAGUGCCCAAGUUCAGGACAGGCCUUUCCACGCGUAUAUUCUGCCUCCUUGUCUGGAGAAUAGUCCCCUCCCAAAAGGUUGAGGAGACAUUCUUGGAAUCUAUGUUCGGUGGCUUUUAGCACCAAGCCCAGCUAGCUGAGCUCAACUACUACAGAAAUUCUAGCUGCAGUCCUGCAUGUAACCUAGGGGUCCAAGGUCCGUGAUGCUCACUCUCCCCUGACCCCUGGAUCAGUGACCCUCCACUCUAGAGAAGCUGCAGUACACACUUGGGUACAGAUCGGUAAUGAGAAAACCAGAGUUGGAGAUGAAGUGUGAUUCUCUGGGGUGGAGCCCCUGCAAGCUGCAGGCCUUCUACAGCAGAGAAAGCCCCCUUUAGUGUUAGCAGCCGAUCACAGCAGGGUGUCACCUCCAAGGAUCCCAGAGUCACAGGCCACAAAGCUGGAUUCCUCGGCACUACCCCUGAGUGAUGUGCUGCAGCCCUAACUGGUAGGCCAGACUCUCCCGUGUUGGAACAGAGGUAGGGACUCACCACAAACCUCUUUCAGGGUUCUCUGCUUGCAAAUCAGAAGGAUGGAAUUCACAGGACAAUAAAGUCAAGAGUGACAGAAGUAGGAUUUAUUCAAGUGUGGAGAACAGAAAAAACUAUGGCAAUAGCAAGAGAGGAUCGCGACAGGGAUUAUCACCUGCGGCUGCUGGUCUCAGGGUUUAUACAGCCCUUGGGUCAACACUAUUGGUCCAAAGUUAUAAUAAGAGUUGGGAAAAAUACUGAUGCUCUUGGUACAAAGUUCUGCUAAUCAGCGUUUGGAAAAGUACCAGCCCUGAGCUGACCUUCCAGGCAGGUCUGCCCCACUUCCAUGGUCCUACCCCUGUAGGGGGUGGGAGGUGGAGGUUGUUGGAUGGUGGAUGCUUGGGGGUUCUAAGCUGCAGUGCUAUGCAGAGUGGGCAUCUGCACUGGGCCUAAGCCAGGCUGCCUGGGCCCUGGCUCUCCUAGGCCCUGGCCCUCUGCACCUCAGGCCCGUGCUGGCAUGGCGGGCUCCACAUAUCCUAGGCCAGUGCCAACCCCAAGGACUCCAGCCUAGGCUGUUGCUCCACAGCUCCAGGGCAAGGACCUGGUUCACUGAUGUUGGGGUGACCAGCUAGUCCUGCUAUGCCCAAGACUUUCCCAGUUUUAGCAUUAAACGUGGCACAUCGCAGGAACACACAGUCCCAGGCAAACCAAGAUUGUAUGUUGGUCCUCUUCUCCAGAAUCCUUAGGGAACUGGGUCUACCCUGCUAAGCUAAAUUUUCUUAUUAGCCAUAGAAUCUUAAAAUGAUUACUGAUCUUUUUCUCUGAUGUAGAAGUAACACAAACUUGUACAAAAUUAUAAAGAAAAAAAAUCACCAACAAUACCUCCCACCUUGCUGGGUAAAUAUGCGGUGCCAUGAUUUUCCACCGAGCACUGCGUCAUGAAAACCUUUCUCACGAUGAGACCUACCUCCCAAGGUGUGUUAGUAUCUGCCUGGGAGCCUCUGUGAACCAAUGCACCAUAAUUUUAACUGUUCCUCUUUGGCUGGACUUUGGUUCACUCCCCCUGACACUAUCUCUUCCUGCUUUUAAUGAAUGCUGUGAUUAACAUCCUCGGGCACAAAUCUUCUCUGUAGCACUUCGGGCAUUUUUUUUUUUAACCGCUAUCUUCUGUCUACUUGCUUCUCCUUUCUUUGGGUCCUGAGGAGUUUGCUCUGAUGCAGGGAAGUCCUGUGAACGCCAGGACCCUUGGUCAGGGUACUCCCACCUGCCCUCAGGUCACAGACACACUGAGAAUUCAGCUGAGGCUUGGUAGUGGUCCUAGUCUGAGCUCAAGGCGAGCACUCCGCAGUGUCUAGGGUAGGGUCUUCAUACUGUGAGCUCAGGCAGACCUGAGAUGGGGGAGCAGUUGUGAAUGGGAGGAGUAGCGAAGGACCAAGCGGGAAGGAAGCUGGGAUCCCAACCUGUGCUUCAACCUCAGCAGCUUCACAUUAAGCUACUUUUCAUGGGUAUUAUCUCUAGUCCUCUUAAGAACCUUGCAAAGGGUAUUCUCAGUGUUAAUUGGGGGGAAAAUAAAAGGUCCAGAGAGGGCAGGUGUCUGCUUCAUCCACUAAGUGAAACUUCUGGAUCCAAGGCCGGUUUUCCUGCUGCUCUGGAUGGACGGCAGCCUGUGCCUAGCUGCUGGAAGAGGAGGUGGAGGGUUCUGUGCUCUAGAUCCCAAUUCCAGAUCUGGGCAUUCAGUACAUUGGGGAGUAAGGGAAAAAGGAUCAAGUGAUGAAGUGGGAGCUAUAAAAAGUCCUAGAAAGUUACAAUCGUCCCUUGCAUCUUGGAGCACUGUCCAGUUGGUGGACAGAGCCACCCAAGAAAGCAUCUUAGAGAAAUGAGCCAGAACACUGUGUUUCAGUUUGGGGAACUUGGCCUUAGGGUCAUUCAGGGGUCCAGGGCUGUUGAGGAGAAAUACCCUGCAGGAUGGACUGGGGAAACACUGGGGCAGAGUGGGGCUGGCCUUAUAAGGAGUGGGAAGAGCUGGAGGUCACAAAAGGGAUGCAGUCAUGUCCCUGUUGAAUUCCAAAAACUGACCACACCUGAGCGUCCCAGAAAACAGAAGGCAAGGCCCAGGGCAUCUAGGCAGUGGACCUGCCCAUGUGCAGAGGCCAGCCUCACGCUGGGGCUGUGGGAGAGUCAUCCGACCCCAAAGAAGGCCCUGGCAUGAGCUGGGCCAGACGCAGGACCUCGCCAGCUGGAGAGCCUUCAGGAGGCGUCUGUGACAGUCCAGGCCUGAGGGUAAGGGUGACGCGGAGGACAAUGUGGUGGGGGAGAGCCCUGAUGUCUGCCCUGAGGCACCACAUAGCCAGGGUCUGGGAAGUCAGCCGGGGUGCCCAGGAAUCGUGGCUACUCAUCUGAACCCGGGUCUUGGAGCCAGGCUUAGCCCCCCAGCCAGUGAGUGAGGUGACAGGAGGCCAGGGCAGGAACCUGAGGGUGAGGGGUCGGUCAAGGUGUGGACUCUGCGGGUCUGCUCAGGGCUGACCUGUGCACGGCGGUCACCACGGCUGAGCCACUCCUACUGGGUCUGUGGUCACCUUUCGUCCUGUUAGCCCCAUGUCCCAGGCCAACUCCCUUCUCUGUUGAUAUUCUUCAAAUCACUCGAGGAAGGUGCUUCUUGCCAAAACGUCAAACACCAUUUCCCGAAGUAAAAAAGUACGAGUGCCCUUCACCUUCCUACACAUAUAAUUAAAAAAAAAUCAAUUUGGUGCAUAUCUUUCCAUGUAUGUUUCUAUGUAUUUUAAUAAAAAUAUGAUAAGUCUAG